This 1768-nucleotide long non-coding RNA is filed under the name Gossypium barbadense (sea-island cotton). Its description in RNAcentral is "long non-coding RNA (GBAR_LNC015938)". The record is from RNAcentral. Lineage: Eukaryota; Viridiplantae; Streptophyta; Magnoliopsida; Malvales; Malvaceae.
AAUUAUAUUAUAUUAUUAUAUUUCAAAUAAACAAAAUUGUUGAUAACUGCAUGGUGUAUAUGAUGACAUGUGGAAAAAUGAAAUACAUAAGUAAUGAUUACAUAUUUCCUUAUUAUUUAAGUAAGUAAUAUUAUAUUAUUAUUUUAUUGUUAUUAUAUUAAACUAACUAAAUAAAAGAAAUAAAAAGAUGGAAAAAGAGAAAUGGAAACAGAAUAGGCAAACGAUAACAGGGGAGAAAGGAAAGCAAAAGAAAAAGGGAAGCAAAGGAAGAAAAUUUGGGAUUUCAAGAUUCCAAGCUCAAUGGGUAAGUUAAAUUAAGUCCUUUUUUAUAAUUUUUGAGUUUUUGGUAUCCUAGAACAAAGUAUUAUUGGAUUUAUGUUGAAAUUAGGGGUUAAAUUGAUUAAAUUUCAAGUUAGAAGUUAGUAAAAGGUUGAUUUGUAAAAUAAAUUAUAGGCUUUGAAUUAAUAGGGACUAAAUUGAGAGAAUUUUAAAAUUAGGGAUUUAUGGUGAAAAUGAAGAGUUAAAGUGAAUUUAUAGUAAGAAUUAAGAGAGAAUAUAGAGUUAGAAUGGGAAAAUAAAAUUAGUAUUGAUAAGGGAUUAAAUUGGAAUUUGGGUAAAGUUUAGGUAUAAAAGGAAAUAUUUUAAGAAAAUUGUGUAUUAAUGAUUUUUAAUUGUUUAAUUACGUAGCUAAUGUCAUGCAAGAGUCAUUGUCCGAGAAAGGAAAUGAGAAGGUGAACAAGGAGUGACUCGAGAAAAUUUACGGUUAGUAUUACCAUAAUUCGAAUUUAAUUAUUAAUUGUUAAAAUUUAAAUUAAUAUACAUGAUAAACAAAUUGAAGUAAGUAUCAUGAUUGAAUUGAAUGAUAAAUAAAUAUUGAUAUUGAAUUUAUUAAUAGCAAUUGUUGAAAUUUGAAUAAUAUGUUUAGUAAAUAAAAAUAAGGUGAAUAUCGAUAUUGAAUUAAAUGAUAUUGAAUUGUAUGUGAAUUGAAUGAAAUUAAAAUGAAGUAUGAAUAUGUAUGAGCAAUUGAAAAAUGUAUUGAAUUAAAUUGUGAUUAAAUUGGAAUUGAAAGUAUGAGAAAGUGAUUGAAUUGAAAUGUGAUUCGAAUACCCUAUUAACUUAUCGGACUAGAUUGGAUACAAAUGGCAUGCCAUAGGAUUUGUGAUGUGAUGAGGAGAUUUGUAGCUCGGCCGAGAAGAUGAUUAUGUUAUUAUAUGCUUCGGUUUAUCCGAAGAGGCAUUUAAUGUCUUAUUGUUGUGUUUGGGAGGAUAUGAUAUAUUGGUGUGUUAUGGAGGAUUUAUAUUUAUUUCGGGUGUGUUUUGGUUGGAUAUUCUAGUGUGUUUGGAUGGAAUCCGCGUAUCUGUCAGAGUCCGAGUCAAGUUAAUAGGGGCAAAUGAAUAAUUUUGAUAAUAUAAAUUUUAUUGAAUGAUCUUGAAUAUGAAUCGAAAAGAGAUAGUAAAUUGAGAUAUAGAAAAUGAAAUGUAUAAACUAUGGGUUCAAGAAAUAGAUAAUGAUAUAGUUCAUGAAGUGGUUUUGGUAGUAUGAGAUAAUGUAAAAAAAAAAAAAAAUAUAAGUGAAUAAAAGCAAAUUAAAAUAGCUAUUGUUAAGAAAUGAGAAGUGAAAAUAAAAUGAUUUGAAAUAGUGAAAUAAUAUGUGAAUUUAAUUGAAUACAAGUUAUUGAAAUUUAUUUAUGAAUUUAAUGAAUAAAUUGAGUGUUAAAAUAUUUUUAGUGUAAAUUGAUUAUAAUGAACAAAUCGAAUUAAAAGAUAGU